Colias croceus (clouded yellow) is the source of this 3548-nucleotide RNA transcript. RefSeq lists it as uncharacterized. Lineage: Eukaryota; Metazoa; Arthropoda; Insecta; Lepidoptera; Pieridae. The record is from RefSeq and is a predicted model, not a curated record. The transcript is spliced from 3 exons.
AGUUUCACUAAUUAAAAAAUAUGUAGAUCCUAAGAUAAAAACUGCAAUUCUAGUUCAUCCCCCUGAUGCUAUGUGUACUAUAGUUCCAAUAAUACAGAGUAAUUUUAAAAGUUCAUGUAUGGAUUUAGUUCUUACAAAAUUAGAAUUGCAAAAUGUCAAAGAUUACUUUAAGCAACAGGAAAUAAUACGAAAUUAUCAUGAAGGCAAAACUAACCAUCGCGGAAUUAACGAAACUCAUUUAUCUUUAUCUAGGAAAUACUUUUGGCCUAAAAUGAAGGAAGCAGUAACUAAAUAUAUUAAUGAGUGUAGCAUAUGUGGUCAAGGGAAAUAUGAUAGAAUUCCAGUAAAUCCAAAAUUUCGAAUCGUAGUUCCUCCUACAAAACCUUUUGAAAUAAUACAUCUCGAUUUACUUAGUAUUGAUUCUCAGAAAUAUCUCACUAUAAUAGAUGCAUUCUCUAAGUAUGCUCAAGCAUAUUGUUUAAAGGACGCAACCGCAAUAAGCGUAGUUCAGGCUCUUUUGACGUUUGGUACACAUCAUGGCUUACCUAUGACUGUCGUAACGGAUCGAGGUCCUGAGUUCACGAACCAAAUAUUCAGUGAAUUUGUAAGGCUUCAUAGAAUAAAUCACCAUAAGUUAUUAGCUCAUGCACCUAACGAAAAUGGUAUGGUAGAACGGCUUCACUCAACUUUAUUAGAACACAUACGUUUACUAAAACUUGAACGACGUGGUGAAUUAAUCAUUAACUUAAUGCCGUAUGCUGUUCUUGCCUAUAAUAGUUCGAUCCACAGUUUUACGAAGUGCAGGCCUCUUGACAUUAUAACCGGUCAUUUAGAUCCCCGCGAUCCUGUAGAUAUCGAUCUAUCAGAAAAUGUCUUACAGCAAUAUAUGCAAGAACAUCGCGAUAGUAUGCACAAAGUAUUCAAAAUUAUUAAUGAAUCGUCUUUGGAACGCCGUACUCAAAUUACAGAAAACAUUAAUAGGAACCGCGAACCCGAAAUACAGUAUUAUCCAGAUCAACAAAUUUUUGUAAGAAAUCCUAGGGCUAGUCGACAAAAGACCGCACCGCGUUUUACGCACGAUACUGUACUGGCUGAUUUACCUAUUCAUAUCUAUACUAAGAAGAAAUAUGGCGCUGUUGCUAAAUCUAGGCUUAAGAGGGUACCUAAAUUGUUACAGAAUCCUUCCUCUGAUCCUGUGCCAGAUUCAAGCAGAAGAUCCCACCCUGACUAGCUUGGAUGACGGACCUGGUAUAUUACCAUUUAAUAUUGGAACUGCUAGAAUUGUCACUCAUUAUCAUUCAUUUUUGCAAAUUAUUAAUUUAAAGGAUAUUCGUGAUAGUAUAACCAUAGUAAAGGAUCAAUUAAAUUCAUUAACGCCUAAUUUGCACGAUAAAUUAUUUUCGCUUUAUAAUUCACAUAUUGAACACUUGCAUUAUAAGAUUAUUAAAUUGUCAAAUCAGUUGGAAACUUUUGAACCCAAUCGCAUAAAGAGAGGUCUCAUAGAUGGUUUAGGUUCAGUUAUAAAAAGUAUUUCUGGUAAUCUAGACUAUACAGAUGCAAUUAAAUAUGAUACCGCAAUUAAAUUAUUACAAAAUAAUGAGAAUAAAUUGGUCACAGAAAUGAAUAAUCAUAUAAGCCUCAGUAAAGAUUGGAUAGAACAACAAUCUGAUAUUUUAAACAACUUAAUUAAAAAUCAGGAAAAAAUUGAAAUAGCUAUAAAUGAUUUAAAGGCCAAUAAUUUAAACGUUACUCUAUACAUAGAUUUAAUUCAACGCGUAGCGAUUUUAUCAGAUAAUAUAGAUGAUAUAUCUGAAGAAUUACAUAGAUUAGAAAAUUUAUUAGGUUUUAUUCGUGCGAAAAGUACGCAUCAUCUUAUGUUCAAUUCAAAUUCUCUAAAAGAAAUGCUAAAUAAAUUACACAAAUUUUAUGGUAAAGAGCAAAUCCCUCAAGUUAAUUAUAGAGAAUAUUUUGAUUUAGUUAAACUAGGCUAUUAUUAUAGUAAUAGGAAUAUAGUUAUAGUUUUUAUGUUCCCGGUUGUCCUUCCUGCUACCUUUGAAUUAUUUAAAUUAUCCAUAGUUCCUAAUAAAGAUAGUAAAGUCCUAAUUCCACCCUAUCCUUUUGUGGCAAUUCACAACGAGGAUUUUAUGUACAUGGAGGCAGAAUGCCCGAAGUCUGGCCUAGGGUAUCUAUGUGAGGACAAGCUGAACCAUCAUCGAUCCAAAAAUGACUGCGUGUAUCACCUUAUUACCACGCAACGAGUCGUCGCAUCUUGUCUCUUCACGCCUGUGGAGCUCGGAGCGCCCGCACUAGAAAAAUUAGACGACGCCCACUACGUCAUCAGUUUCCCCAAGCCAUCAAAAAUCCACUUAUCAUGCUCGCAAGAUCAAUAUGACGUCAUUAAAGGAAGCUACUUAGCCACAAUACCCAAAAACUGCAUUCUUCAAACGGAGGCUUUCAAGAUAGUCAAUCGAGAAGACCAUAUCAAAGGACAGAUAAUGAAAAUUGCAAACCUGCCAGAUUCCAGCCAAUAUAAUACAGAUGAAGAAGUUCUGAAGUUGAAUUCGAUAAAUUUGGAUAAAUUACACGCUAGUAACAGAGCUAUAUCAAUGGAAAUGCCUAUCAGUACUAACAACGGAUACGAGAUUCUCUAUAUGCAGCCUUCCAUAAUACCGAUAUAUGUUAUAUUAAUAACGAGUGCAGUUGCCCUAGUGACAUGGUACGUCGUACGGAGACUGCGUACAUCAAAGCCUAUUACUACGAGUGUUCAUGGUAAUCAAAAAGAAGAAAUAGAACAUCAAUCGGCGGAGGGUGAAAUUUCAGCGAUAUUAACGAGCCUUGCCCGCCAAUAAUCGCUGAACUUCAGGAGGGAGGUGUUAUGUACCUACAUAUAAGAUUAGAGGAUGCAUGGGGCCACCCAAGAAGCUGCACCUGUUAGGAAUUGCGACAUCGCGCACACCUGCGCUUCCAGAGAGUGUUGCGGCAAUCAUCGCCACCGCGACGCUGCAGCUACCCCGCCGAGGAGGACGAGCACUCUUAGUUCUAACAUCGAACGGGAGGGACGUAGGUUAAGUUAGGAGUAAUUUAUUAUGUAAUUUUUUUUACAAUAAAUAAUUUAAAGUAAAUUUCGGUUUUUUUUGCGCCUUCGCGGGCCGGUCGAUAUAAUUGGCGCAGUCUUGUGGAUGAUCCUCGAGAGCCGUCUCUCGGAACGCGAAACUACAAGCAUCGAGAAUUGCCAUUCCAUCGGAGGGACGACGACGGGGACCAAGAACCUACAUCUAUUGGCCGCCGCAACGCGAAGGGUAUCCGAACAUUGAUACUGCAAGAAAGGCCGAAAUGAAAAUCCUAAUCCUUCCUCUGAUCCUGUGCCAGAUUCAAGCAGAAGAUCCCACCCUGACUAGCUUGGAUGACGGACCUGGUAUAUUACCAUUUAAUAUUGGAACUGCUAGAAUUGUCACUCAUUAUCAUUCAUUUUUGCAAAUUAUUAAUUUAAAGGAUAUUCGUGAUAGUAUAACCAUAGUAAAGGAUCAAUUAAAUUCAUUAACGCCUAA